ACCUGGUGGGCUCAGUUGGUGGAGUGUGGGACUUUUGAUCUCUGGGUUGUGAGUUCGAGCCCCACGUUAGGUG
This 73-nucleotide transfer RNA is filed under the name Ailuropoda melanoleuca (giant panda). It matches the Rfam family "tRNA". From Rfam's summary of the family: Transfer RNA (tRNA) molecules are approximately 80 nucleotides in length. The record is from Rfam by way of RNAcentral. Lineage: Eukaryota; Metazoa; Chordata; Mammalia; Carnivora; Ursidae.